UGGGGAAUUUUGGACAAUGGGCGCAAGCCUGAUCCAGCCAUGCCGCGUGCAGGAUGAAGGCCUUCGGGUUGUAAACUGCUUUUGUACGGAACGAAAAGGUGCCUUCUAAUAAAGGGCGCUCAUGACGGUACCGUAAGAAUAAGCACCGGCUAACUACGUGCCAGCAGCCGCGGUAAUACGUAGGGUGCGAGCGUUAAUCGGAAUUACUGGGCGUAAAGCGUGCGCAGGCGGUUUUGUAAGACAGAGGUGAAAUCCCCGGGCUCAACCUGGGAACUGCCGUUGUGACUGCAAGGCUGGAGUGCGGCAGAGGGUGAUGGAAUUCCGCGUGUAGCAGUGAAAUGCGUAGAUAUGCGGAGGAACACCGACGGCGAAGGCAAUCCCCUGGGCCUGCACUGACGCUCAUGCACGAAAGCGUGGGGAGCAAACA
This 427-nucleotide ribosomal RNA is filed under the name uncultured bacterium. RNAcentral's name for it is "bacterial SSU rRNA". It matches the Rfam family "Bacterial small subunit ribosomal RNA", at positions 355 to 774 of the family's 1533-position model. The record is from RNAcentral.